Molecule: transfer RNA, 81 nt
Filed under: Trachylepis aureopunctata (gold-spotted mabuya)
Lineage: Eukaryota; Metazoa; Chordata; Lepidosauria; Squamata; Scincidae
Description: tRNA-Ile
Rfam family: tRNA (bases 3-71)
About the family: Transfer RNA (tRNA) molecules are approximately 80 nucleotides in length.
Source: RNAcentral
CAGGAAAUGUGCCUGAACUAAAGGGUUACUUUGAUAGAGUAAAAAUAGGGGUUUGAGCCCCCUCAUCUCCUUACUAGAAAG